GACUCGGUGGCGAAGGGUUCGCGUCUGCCUCUGAUAGCGGAUUCCACGCGGAAGGCGCCCGUUCAAUUCGGGCCCGAGUCU
Molecule: non-coding RNA, 81 nt
Organism: Mycena vulgaris
Lineage: Eukaryota; Fungi; Basidiomycota; Agaricomycetes; Agaricales; Mycenaceae
Source: the annotation of a GenBank genome assembly